GGGUGUAUAGCUCAGUUGGUGGAGCAUCGGGCCUUGAAUGGUCGCAGGUUCGAGGACUUUUAGACACA
RNAcentral lists this transfer RNA (68 nucleotides) under Cedrus deodara (deodar cedar). Its description in RNAcentral is "tRNA-Lys". Lineage: Eukaryota; Viridiplantae; Streptophyta; Pinopsida; Pinales; Pinaceae. The record is from RNAcentral.